Non-coding RNA from Misgurnus anguillicaudatus (oriental weatherfish), 262 nucleotides. NCBI's taxonomy places the organism in Eukaryota, Metazoa, Chordata, Actinopteri, Cypriniformes, Cobitidae. The record is from RefSeq and is a predicted model, not a curated record.
GUUACAAUGAUUUCAGGAAGUUUGCACCCAAUAAAUACUCUACGCAGUGCUUUAGUGACACCUGAAAAGUACCUCACCUGUGACACCUGAAGACUCACUGUAGAAAAAGCAAAACUCAAAAAUGCCUGGAAACCUCCUGAAAAAUCCACAUGGAUAUGAGGAUUUUAGAAACUGGGAGUUGAUGCAGAAAGAUGGAGACCAAUGGCAAAUUGAACAGAUGCCAGAUGAUUCAGUGGCUUCAUACUUCUACACCUCUUCUAAG